GCUCAGGAUGAACGCCGGCGGUGUGCCUAAUACAUGCAAGUCGUACGCACUGGCCCAACUGAUUGAUGGUGCUUGCACCUGAUUGACGAUGGAUCACCAGUGAGUGGCGGACGGGUGAGUAACACGUAGGUAACCUGCCCCGGAGCGGGGGAUAACAUUUGGAAACAGAUGCUAAUACCGCAUAACAACAAAAGCCACAUGGCUUUUGUUUGAAAGAUGGCUUUGGCUAUCACUCUGGGAUGGACCUGCGGUGCAUUAGCUAGUUGGUAAGGUAACGGCUUACCAAGGCGAUGAUGCAUAGCCGAGUUGAGAGACUGAUCGGCCACAAUGGAACUGAGACACGGUCCAUACUCCUACGGGAGGCAGCAGUAGGGAAUCUUCCACAAUGGGCGCAAGCCUGAUGGAGCAACACCGCGUGAGUGAAGAAGGGUUUCGGCUCGUAAAGCUCUGUUGUUGGAGAAGAACGUGCGUGAGAGUAACUGUUCACGCAGUGACGGUAUCCAACCAGAAAGUCACGGCUAACUACGUGCCAGCAGCCGCGGUAAUACGUAGGUGGCAAGCGUUAUCCGGAUUUAUUGGGCGUAAAGCGAGCGCAGGCGGUUGCUUAGGUCUGAUGUGAAAGCCUUCGGCUUAACCGAAGAAGUGCAUCGGAAACCGGGCGACUUGAGUGCAGAAGAGGACAGUGGAACUCCAUGUGUAGCGGUGGAAUGCGUAGAUAUAUGGAAGAACACCAGUGGCGAAGGCGGCUGUCUGGUCUGCAACUGACGCUGAGGCUCGAAAGCAUGGGUAGCGAACAGGAUUAGAUACCCUGGUAGUCCAUGCCGUAAACGAUGAGUGCUAGGUGUUGGAGGGUUUCCGCCCUUCAGUGCCGGAGCUAACGCAUUAAGCACUCCGCCUGGGGAGUACGACCGCAAGGUUGAAACUCAAAGGAAUUGACGGGGGCCCGCACAAGCGGUGGAGCAUGUGGUUUAAUUCGAAGCUACGCGAAGAACCUUACCAGGUCUUGACAUCUUGCGCUAACCUUAGAGAUAAGGCGUUCCCUUCGGGGACGCAAUGACAGGUGGUGCAUGGUCGUCGUCAGCUCGUGUCGUGAGAUGUUGGGUUAAGUCCCGCAACGAGCGCAACCCUUGUUACUAGUUGCCAGCAUUAAGUUGGGCACUCUAGUGAGACUGCCGGUGACAAACCGGAGGAAGGUGGGGACGACGUCAGAUCAUCAUGCCCCUUAUGACCUGGGCUACACACGUGCUACAAUGGACGGUACAACGAGUCGCAAGCUCGCGAGAGUAAGCUAAUCUCUUAAAGCCGUUCUCAGUUCGGACUGUAGGCUGCAACUCGCCUACACGAAGUCGGAAUCGCUAGUAAUCGCGGAUCAGCAUGCCGCGGUGAAUACGUUCCCGGGCCUUGUACACACCGCCCGUCACACCAUGGGAGUUUGUAACGCCCAAAGUCGGUGGCCUAACCUUUAUGGAGGGAGCCGCCUAAGGCGGGACAGAUGACUGGGGUGAAGUCGUA
This 1512-nucleotide ribosomal RNA is filed under the name Limosilactobacillus reuteri. RNAcentral describes it as "Lactobacillus reuteri 16S ribosomal RNA". It matches the Rfam family "Bacterial small subunit ribosomal RNA". The record is from RNAcentral. Lineage: Bacteria; Bacillati; Bacillota; Bacilli; Lactobacillales; Lactobacillaceae.